This 227-nucleotide long non-coding RNA is filed under the name Elaeis guineensis (African oil palm). RNAcentral describes it as "long non-coding RNA (EGUI_LNC003727)". The record is from RNAcentral. Lineage: Eukaryota; Viridiplantae; Streptophyta; Magnoliopsida; Arecales; Arecaceae.
GAUCAUAAACAGGUUGUGUCAGAUGUGGAUCAGAUUAGAAAAUUCUAAAGCUAAUCUGAUCUGUUUAUUAAAUAGAUCAGAAUUUAUAAUCGAAAUAUAACAUGUUUAAUAAACAGGUAAUCCGAUCCGAUCUGUUUAACUUAUUUACUAAAUGGAUAACCUGUUAACCCAACCUGUUUAACCUAUUUAAAAUAAAAUUUAUUAGCUAACCUCAUCUAAUCCGGCCC